Non-coding RNA from Arachis ipaensis, 853 nucleotides. The record is from RefSeq and is a predicted model, not a curated record. NCBI's taxonomy places the organism in Eukaryota, Viridiplantae, Streptophyta, Magnoliopsida, Fabales, Fabaceae.
GUUGAAUGAAAGUUUCAACUUUCAAAUGCAAGUACUAUGACAAGUUAAACAGUUGGAGUUGAAAGUGGAACCCUCUUAUAUCUUCUUCCCAAUCAGUCUGCAGGAUAUCACAAGAUUCUUUAGCGCCCCAGAAACAGAGACUCAGAAAGCAUGGCAAGAUGCUCUGCUAGAAAGUAUACUGCACAAGUCAUUAACCUUUCAUUUCUGGAACCACUUGACAUAUGCUCUCAUUCCAGAACCCAAUAGCCUCGUGAAUAGGCUUAUGAAUCGUGCUUGUCUCAGAUGCUCAGAAUUACUGUAAAAUGCUGGCUUACACCAAUCCUGUUUGGAGCUUCCCUACAGCAGCAAAUGUCAGAAACUCUGUGGAUCUUUGUCUAACAUUUUGUUCUUGUAGCCAUAUUGUUGCUCUUAGUAUUGCAGUUCAGAAGACACCAGCUGGUUCUCUUGUACAAUUUUGUUGUAUAAGUUGCAGAGAUAUAGUUGAUUGAAGUUCGUUAGGGGAAGAGGGAUAAAAUAUACUGAAAAGUUUUUAGAUUUAGUAUACUACAACCAGCAUUAUCUAAUGCUCGUGUAUUUUAAUUUAUUGUAAUUCAAGAUGUAGUCUGCAUAGAGAUGCAUGGUUCAUCCCUGCAAGGUUUUGGCGGAACUGCAGUAUCUAAGUGAUAUUUAGCUAGUGAAGAAAGCAAGCAAGAUGUUAUUGUCAAGAGACUAACUGAUGCUAGAGAACUAAGAUGGUUGGAAACUGAUCUAAAGGGGUAAGUAGCAUGCAUACCUUGGCUUCAAGAAUAGCUGUAUUGAUCAGCAACCACUGGACAGAAUUUCCUUCUGUUGCCUCAGGUUGUGCUUCUUUCUC